Molecule: long non-coding RNA, 218 nt
Filed under: Homo sapiens (human)
Lineage: Eukaryota; Metazoa; Chordata; Mammalia; Primates; Hominidae
Description: HSALNT0038767
Source: RNAcentral
GCGAUCUCGCGAGAGGCGAGGCCAAAACCCUGCCUCGCUAGCGCAGGGAGAAGUCGCACCAGUCGGAGCGCAGAGGGACACGCAGACAUUUCAGCAGAGGCCUCAAAGGCAGAACAAAAUAGUGCAAGGAGCCGCACAUCCGCACAGUGCUGAGACCCUGCCCAGGACAAGCUUGAUCCUGGCACCCAAGUGACAACCUGCAUUGAAAAGGCGGAACU